This is a small nuclear RNA of Mesoplodon densirostris (Blainville's beaked whale), 104 nucleotides long. The record is from RefSeq and is a predicted model, not a curated record. Lineage: Eukaryota; Metazoa; Chordata; Mammalia; Artiodactyla; Ziphiidae.
GUGCUCACUUCAGCAGCACAUAUACUAAAAUUGGAACAGUACAGAGAUUAGCAUUGCCCCUGCGCAAGGAUGACAUGCAAAUUUGUGAAGCGUUCCAUAUUAAA